RNAcentral lists this long non-coding RNA (815 nucleotides) under Parus major (Great Tit). RNAcentral's name for it is "lncRNA (ENSPMJG00000002182.1)". The record is from RNAcentral. Lineage: Eukaryota; Metazoa; Chordata; Aves; Passeriformes; Paridae.
CAGCUCGUAGCACAGCACCCCCAGGCACCACAGGUCGACCUUCUCGUCGUGGCUGUUGCCCUCCACCAUCUCCGGGGGCAGGUAAUCCAGGGUGCCACAGAGAGUCCGGCGCCUGAGGGGUUAAAACACACCUGGGCACACCUGGGCACACCUGGGCACUCAGAGAACCCCACACCUGACUCAGGUAAUCCCAGGGUGCCGCACAGGGUCCGGCGCCUGAGGGGUUAAAACACACCUGGGCACACCUGGGCACACCUGGGCACUCAGAGCCCCACACCUGGCACAGGUAAUCCCAGGUGAUGCACAGGGUCCUGCGCCUGAGGGGUUAAAACACACCUGGGCACACCUGGGCACACCUGGGCACUCAGAGAACCCAUGGAACCUCACACCUGGCUCAGGUAAUCCCAGGUGAUGCACAGGGUCCGGCGCCUGAGGGGUUAAAACACACCUGGGCACACCUGGGCACACCUGGGUGCUCACAGGACCCCACACCUGGCUCAGGUAAUCCCAGGUGAUGCACAGGCUCUGGCACGUGAAGGGUUAAAAAUGUACCUGGGCAAUCACAGAUUCCCCCAGGUGUCCCCAGGUGUGUCCAGGUGUGUCCCCAGGUGUCCCCAGGUGUGUCCCCAGCUGUCCCCAGGUGUCCCCAGGUGUCUCCAGGUGUCCCCAGGUGUCCCCAGGUGUAUCCAGGUGUCCCCAGGUGUGUCCCCAGGUGUAUCCAGGUGUCCCCAGGUGUGUCCCAGGUGUCUCCAGGUGUCUCCAGGUAUCCCCAGGUGUCCCCAGGUGUCCCCAGAUGUGUCCCCAGGUGUCUCCAG